UCCCUGGUGGCUCAGAUGGUAAAGCAUCUGCCUGCAAUGCGGAAGACCCGGGUUUGAUCCCUGGGUUGGGAA
RNAcentral lists this transfer RNA (72 nucleotides) under Ovis aries (sheep). It matches the Rfam family "tRNA". Rfam says of the family: Transfer RNA (tRNA) molecules are approximately 80 nucleotides in length. Their secondary structure includes four short double-helical elements and three loops (D, anti-codon, and T loops). Further hydrogen bonds mediate the characteristic L-shaped molecular structure. tRNAs have two regions of fundamental functional importance: the anti-codon, which is responsible for specific mRNA codon recognition, and the 3' end, to which the tRNAs corresponding amino acid is attached (by aminoacyl-tRNA synthetases). tRNAs cope with the degeneracy of the genetic code in two manners: having more than one tRNA (with a specific anti-codon) for a particular amino acid; and 'wobble' base-pairing, i.e. permitting non-standard base-pairing at the 3rd anti-codon position. The record is from Rfam by way of RNAcentral. RNAcentral also lists the same sequence under 1 other name. Lineage: Eukaryota; Metazoa; Chordata; Mammalia; Artiodactyla; Bovidae.